UCCACAGGAGGGCCGUGUGGUGGCAGUCGCCGGCACUGCACUGGAAAUUCCACAGGAGCCGUGUGGUGGCAGUCGCCGGCACUGCACUAGAAAUUCCACAGGAGGGCCGUGUGGUGGCAGUGACCGGGACUUUUUAGAAUAAGUGUCUGAUUGUUUGUGAGCUCGUGGUUUUUGUGUGCAUUUGAUUUAAGGUGACCAAUUGAUUUUGUGUGUGCCGUUGAUGGACAGGAGAGGGCAAGUGGUUGAAUGAGAGAGCUGGUAGUUUCGUGGCAUCUGUGGUCCGUGACAAAAUUGGUGAGCCUGGCCAAGCGCAUUUCUUCAUGCCGGGCGCUGCACGUAAAAA
RNAcentral lists this long non-coding RNA (343 nucleotides) under Amphibalanus amphitrite. Its description in RNAcentral is "uncharacterized LOC122385368". Lineage: Eukaryota; Metazoa; Arthropoda; Thecostraca; Balanomorpha; Balanidae. The record is from RNAcentral.